GACGAACGCUGGCGGCGUGCUUAACACAUGCAAGUCGAACGGAAAGGCCCUGCUUUUGUGGGUUUCUCGUUUGGCGAACGGGUGAGUAACACGUGAGUAACCUGCCCUUGACUUUGUGAUAACUUCUGGAAACUGCGGCUCAUAUCGCAUAUGAUCUCCUGAUGCAUGUUGUUGGUUGGAAAGUUUCGGCGUUUGUGGAUGUACUCGCUGCUUAUCAGCUGGUUGGUGGGGUAGUGGCUUACCAAGGCUUUGACGGGUAGCCGGCCUGAGAGGGUGAACGGGGACAAUGCGACUGAGGGACGGAGCAGAAGCGUACGGGAGGCAGCAGGGGGGAAUAUGGCGCAAUGGGGGGAAGCGUGAGGCAGAAACGCCGCGAGCGGGAUGACGGCCUACGGGUUGUAAACCGAUUUCGACUGUGACGAAGCGUGAGUGACGGUAAUGGGUAAAGAAGCACCGGCUAACUACGUG
This 468-nucleotide ribosomal RNA is filed under the name uncultured bacterium. RNAcentral's name for it is "partial 16S ribosomal RNA". It matches the Rfam family "Bacterial small subunit ribosomal RNA", at positions 28 to 507 of the family's 1533-position model. The record is from RNAcentral.